Molecule: ribosomal RNA, 440 nt
Filed under: uncultured bacterium
Lineage: Bacteria
Description: bacterial SSU rRNA
Rfam family: Bacterial small subunit ribosomal RNA
Source: RNAcentral
CCUACGGGCUGCAGCAGUAGGGAAUAUUGGACAAUGGGCGAAAGCCUGAUCCAGCAAUGCCGCGUGUGUGAAGAAGGUCUUCGGAUUGUAAAGCACUUUCGACGGGGACGAUGAUGACGUUACCCGCAGAAGAAGCCCCGGCUAACUUCGUGCCAGCAGCCGCGGUAAUACGAAGGGGGCUAGCGUUGCUCGGAAUGACUGGGCGUAAAGGGCGCGUAGGCGGUUUAUGCAGUCAGAUGUGAAAUCCCCGGGCGUAACCUGGGAACUGCAUUUGAGACGCAUAGACUAGAGGUCGAGAGAGGGUUGUGGAAUUCCCAGUGUGGAGGUGAAAUUCGUAGAUAUUGGGAAGAACACCGGUGGCGAAGGCGGCAACCUGGCUCGAUACUGACGCUGAGGCGCGAAAGCGUGGGGAGCAAACAGGAUUAGAUACCCUGGUAGUC